Molecule: transfer RNA, 75 nt
Filed under: Myxococcales bacterium
Lineage: Bacteria; Pseudomonadati; Myxococcota; Myxococcia; Myxococcales
Description: tRNA-Pro
Rfam family: tRNA
About the family: Transfer RNA (tRNA) molecules are approximately 80 nucleotides in length. Their secondary structure includes four short double-helical elements and three loops (D, anti-codon, and T loops). Further hydrogen bonds mediate the characteristic L-shaped molecular structure. tRNAs have two regions of fundamental functional importance: the anti-codon, which is responsible for specific mRNA codon recognition, and the 3' end, to which the tRNAs corresponding amino acid is attached (by aminoacyl-tRNA synthetases). tRNAs cope with the degeneracy of the genetic code in two manners: having more than one tRNA (with a specific anti-codon) for a particular amino acid; and 'wobble' base-pairing, i.e. permitting non-standard base-pairing at the 3rd anti-codon position.
Source: RNAcentral
AGGGCUGUAGCGCAGUCGGGUCAGCGCGCUCGCUUCGGGAGCGAGAGGACGGGAGUUCGAGUCUCCCCAGCCCUA